This 576-nucleotide ribosomal RNA is filed under the name uncultured bacterium. RNAcentral describes it as "bacterial SSU rRNA". It matches the Rfam family "Bacterial small subunit ribosomal RNA", at positions 102 to 674 of the family's 1533-position model. The record is from RNAcentral.
ACGGGUGAGUAAUGUCUGGGAAACUGCCUGAUGGAGGGGGAUAACUACUGGAAACGGUAGCUAAUACCGCAUAACGUCGCAAGACCAAAGAGGGGGACCUUCGGGCCUCUUGCCAUCAGAUGCGCCCAGAUGGGAUUAGCUAGUAGGUGGGGUAACGGCUCACCUAGGCGACGAUCCCUAGCUGGUCUGAGAGGAUGACCAGCCACACUGGAACUGAGACACGGUCCAGACUCCUACGGGAGGCAGCAGUGGGGAAUAUUGCACAAUGGGCGCAAGCCUGAUGCAGCCAUGCCGCGUGUAUGAAGAAGGCCUUCGGGUUGUAAAGUACUUUCAGCGGGGAGGAAGGUGUUGAGGUUAAUAACCUCAGCAAUUGACGUUACCCGCAGAAGAAGCACCGGCUAACUCCGUGCCAGCAGCCGCGGUAAUACGGAGGGUGCAAGCGUUAAUCGGAAUUACUGGGCGUAAAGCGCACGCAGGCGGUCUGUCAAGUCGGAUGCGAAAUCCCCGGGCUCAACCUGGGAACUGCAUUCGAAACUGGCAGGCUAGAGUCUUGUAGAGGGGGGUAGAAUUCCAGGU